RNAcentral lists this long non-coding RNA (339 nucleotides) under Rattus norvegicus (Norway rat). Its description in RNAcentral is "long non-coding RNA NONRATT025042". Lineage: Eukaryota; Metazoa; Chordata; Mammalia; Rodentia; Muridae. The record is from RNAcentral.
AGGGAAAACUACGUCCACAGAAUUGGUCGAGGUGGUCGGUUUGGCCGGAAAGGUGUGGCUAGUAACAUGGUGACAGAAGAAGACAAGAGGACUCUUCGAGACAUUGAGACUUUCUACAACACCUCCAUUGAAGAGAUGCCCCUCAACGUUGCUGACCUCAUUUGAGGGGCUGUCCUGCUACCUGGCCCUAGCCCAGGGUUCAGUCCUGGGGGCGGGGCUGAGGAACAGCUGGAGGGGGGAGGGAAGGGAGCCAAGGGAUGGACAUCUUGUUUUUGUUUUUUUGUUUUGUUUUUUUUUCUCUCUCUCUCUCUCUUUGAAUAAAUGUCACUUUUUGAGGCA